This 208-nucleotide microRNA precursor is filed under the name Oryza rufipogon (brownbeard rice). Its description in RNAcentral is "MIR812 microRNA precursor family". It matches the Rfam family "MIR812 microRNA precursor family". Lineage: Eukaryota; Viridiplantae; Streptophyta; Magnoliopsida; Poales; Poaceae. The record is from Rfam by way of RNAcentral.
AAUAAGUGCAGUUUUGCACUAUUCAUGUUCAACGUUUGACCGUCUGUCUUAUUUGAAAAUUUUUUAUGAUUAGUAUUUUUAUUGCUAUUAGAUGAUAAAACAUGAAUAGUACUUUAUGUGCGACUAAAUGUUUUUAAUUUUUCACAAAUUUUUCAAAUAAGACGGACGGUCAAAUGUUGAACGUGAAUAGUGCAAAACUGCAUUUAUU